AUAAAGACAUUCAGGCAGCUGAUGGAGAUACUGACCUGAUGUUGGGCUAUGGCUUCCUACCAUUAACAAGCAUUAACCUGACAAGGAUGUGAGUGAGCCACCUUGGAAGUCCAUCCUCCAGUCCCAGUCAAGUCUUUAGAUGACUACAGCCUCAGCUGAGAAUCUGAGCAUAAUAUCAUGAGAGUCUCAAAGUUAGAACUACUCAGCCAAGCUGCUUCUGAAUUCGUAACUCACAAAAACUGACACAGAAUUGCAAUAGGAAGAAACUGAUGCUUCUACCAUUGGGGAGUGAGCAUUCCACUUUUCCAAUACUUAUGAAGAAUGGAGUCAUGAAGAAGACGUGAAUUUUUGCUGAGUUUAGCUGUUUUUGCUUUUCCGG
Molecule: long non-coding RNA, 379 nt
Organism: Symphalangus syndactylus (siamang)
Lineage: Eukaryota; Metazoa; Chordata; Mammalia; Primates; Hylobatidae
Source: RefSeq, a predicted model, not a curated record